RNAcentral lists this unclassified non-coding RNA (18 nucleotides) under Chlamydomonas reinhardtii. RNAcentral describes it as "small RNA Cre_3726". The record is from RNAcentral. Lineage: Eukaryota; Viridiplantae; Chlorophyta; Chlorophyceae; Chlamydomonadales; Chlamydomonadaceae.
UUACAGGGCAAUAUGCAC